CCUACGGGAGGCAGCAGUGAGGAAUAUUGGUCAAUGGCCGUAAGGCUGAACCAGCCAAGUAGCGUGAGGGAAGACUGCCCUAUGGGUUGUAAACCUCUUUUAUGCGGGGAUAAAGGUGUCCACUGUGGAUGUUUGCAUGUACCGCAUGAAUAAGGACCGGCUAAUUCCGUGCCAGCAGCCGCGGUAAUACGGAGGGUCCGGGCGUUACCCGGAUUUAGUUGGUUUAAAGGGAGCGUAGGCCGGUCUUUAAGCGUGCCGUGAAAUUUUGUGGGUCAACCAUGAGAGUGCGGCGCGAACUGGAGACCGUGAGUGCGCGGAAGGCAGGCGGAAUUCGUGGUGUAGCGGUGAAAUGCUUAGAUAGCACGAAGAACCCCGAUUGCGAAGGCAGCCUGCCGCAGCGUUACUGACGCUGAAGCUCGAAAGCGCGGGUAUCGAACAGGAUUAGAUACCCUUGUAGUC
This 459-nucleotide ribosomal RNA is filed under the name uncultured bacterium. Its description in RNAcentral is "partial 16S ribosomal RNA". It matches the Rfam family "Bacterial small subunit ribosomal RNA", at positions 338 to 795 of the family's 1533-position model. The record is from RNAcentral.